AGUGAGCGCUGGCGGUAGGCCUAACACAUGCAAGUCGAACGGCAGCACAGUAAGAGCUUGCUCUUACGGGUGGCGAGUGGCGGACGGGUGAGGAAUACAUCGGAAUCUACUUUUUCGUGGGGGAUAACGUAGGGAAACUUACGCUAAUACCGCAUACGACCUACGGGUGAAAGCAGGGGAUCUUCGGACCUUGCGCGAUUGAAUGAGCCGAUGUCGGAUUAGCUAGUUGGCGGGGUAAAGGCCCACCAAGGCGACGAUCCGUAGCUGGUCUGAGAGGAUGAUCAGCCACACUGGAACUGAGACACAGUCCAGACUCCUACGGGAGGCAGCAGUGGGGAAUAUUGGACAAUGGGCGCAAGCCUGAUCCAGCCAUACCGCGUGGGUGAAGAAGGCCUUCGGGUUGUAAAGCCCUUUUGUUGGGAAAGAAAAGCAGCAGGUUAAUACCCCGCUGUUCUGACGGUACCCAAAGAAUAAGCACCGGCUAACUUCGUG
Molecule: ribosomal RNA, 492 nt
Filed under: uncultured bacterium
Lineage: Bacteria
Description: partial 16S ribosomal RNA
Rfam family: Bacterial small subunit ribosomal RNA
Source: RNAcentral